UCCCUCCCUUGGAGCUCUCCAUCAGCUGGGACUGGGCCAUCUCCCUAUGAGAAUAUACAAACUAAAGAUGAGAGAAAGGAAGUCACUUUCCCAAGCCUGUC
This 101-nucleotide long non-coding RNA is filed under the name Felis catus (domestic cat). RNAcentral's name for it is "lncRNA (ENSFCAG00000052012.1)". The record is from RNAcentral. Lineage: Eukaryota; Metazoa; Chordata; Mammalia; Carnivora; Felidae.